RNAcentral lists this ribosomal RNA (468 nucleotides) under uncultured bacterium. RNAcentral's name for it is "partial 16S ribosomal RNA". It matches the Rfam family "Bacterial small subunit ribosomal RNA", at positions 28 to 507 of the family's 1533-position model. The record is from RNAcentral.
GACGAACGCUGGCGGCGUGCUUAACACAUGCAAGUCGAACGGAAAGGCCCUGCUUUUGUGGGGUGCUCGAGUGGCGAACGGGUGAGUAACACGUGAGUAACCUGCCCUUGACUUUGGGAUAACUUCAGGAAACUGGGGCUAAUACCGGAUAGGAGCUCCUGCUGCAUGGUGGGGGUUGGAAAGUUUCGGCGGUUGGGGAUGGACUCGCGGCUUAUCAGCUUGUUGGUGGGGUAGUGGCUUACCAAGGCUUUGACGGGUAGCCGGCCUGAGAGGGUGACCGGCCACAUUGGGCCUGAGAUACGGCCCAGACUCGUACGGGCGGCAGCGGGGGGGAAUAUUGCGCAAUGGGCGGAAGCCUGAGGCAGCAGCGUCGCGUUCGGGAUGACGGGCUUCGGGUUGUAAACCGCUGUCGCCUGUGACGAAGCGUGAGUGACGGUAAUGGGUAAAGAAGCACCGGCUAACUACGUG